Non-coding RNA from Paramuricea clavata, 1609 nucleotides. Lineage: Eukaryota; Metazoa; Cnidaria; Anthozoa; Malacalcyonacea; Plexauridae. The record is from the annotation of a GenBank genome assembly.
AAAUAUUGCGUGACCCCUGUUGUGACGUAACAUGCAUAUCUACAAAAAUCCAAGAUGGCGGACAUUUCAUUUCUUUCGAUUAAAAUAUUUGUGGAAGUAAGCAAGAUAUGAAAAAACUGUAAAGGAGUUUUCUAUACGAUUUUAAAUGUUCUUUAAAACGAGAAAAUAAAAAAAUAUAUUGCCAUUUCCCUUUAAUAUAGAACCACCUUUCUCAAAUUUUCACCAUGGCUUACCAAAAUAUAAAAAAAAGCAUUUAGUUAAUUUUAUAAUUAAUAUAUAAGGUGCUGGAGCAUGAGUUAGCUUAUAUCAUUACCCAGUAUACGUACAAUAAAUCACCUGUAAUUUUUAUAUUUCUUCGGUUUUAUCGAACGACAUACGAUUAUCGGAUUAUAGCUUAGUCUGAUAAUGAAUUUGUAAUAAAUUCGCAACGACUGUUGAGUAGUGUUUUUUUUCACUGAAUAUUGAGUUUCAAAAUCAAACUAUCAUUCGCAACGACUGUUUUCAUUCUUAUUUUUUUUCUUUCAAUACUAUUACAGAGAGGCUUCCCUAUGCACUGGUGCAGUAUCGUCGGAUUACUGGAGUUGGCUGACGGCUCCUUCAUCUACUAUCCCCUCGUCGAAUGCUGUCAAAAUUGCCACGAGCGCAUCUACAAGAAGUGCAUUAAGCACUAUCACCACUUCAUUUGCGCGAGUCGCGUGCACGAAUGCUCCUGUGACUGUCAUGAAAAACACUGGAGUAAACUAACAGGAAAUAGGAACACAAGUAAAAGAAUUUGUUUAAAGAAGACAUGCGGUAGUCGUUCCAGAAAGUGCUGUACUGAGAAUCAAUGUGUUAAGUUGAAUGUCCAAAAACGUGCCAUACGAUAUAAACAACAUCUACUCAAGCAAACAUCUCACAAUUUGUAAACCAGUUGAUUUUAUUUUCUGAAAACUGCUUAGAUCCUCUCCUUCCAGUCGUCAUUUUCAGAUUUCAUUAAUCAUCAUGGUUGUGAAAUAUUGAAAUAAGUUUCUUUUAUAGGUCUGCAUGCACGACAGUAUAGAUAUAUAAUAACUGUUUUUAGAAAAGUGGAAUCACCGGUUUUAUUUGCAACUUGUGAGAUUAUUUUCGUGUUGAUAUCAAACGGGAUUACGGAAAGUUGAAUUAGGAUAACGUUUAGGAUUUUAGCAUAAGCUUUACAUUAUACUUAGUAUAGAAAUUUAAGGCAAAUAUAUUAAUCAAUGAUGAACUGCACUGCAUGGAAUUUGGGCACACUUUACUUAGUAGCAUAUUAAUCAAUGGUGAACUGCACUGGAGGACUAUAGGAAUAUGACUUGAAUGCUCAAUCACAUGAUAAAUGACAGUUAUGUGGUUUUACAUCACGAGUAAUACCUGAAUUCUUUGUACAAAUAUUACAAUUUAAUCUAAAAUACGACUUGUAUAUAUCUGUGCAAAAAGGUUCAUUAAAAUGUGGUUUGCCCAAAAAUUGUCUAUGGUUUUACUCAUUACUGUUGAAGACGUUUAAUUUGAAAGCAAAUUCUAAACUUAAUAGCAAUGUCAUCCGAAUGUUAUAACCUUUAUAACCGAUAUUUAUAGACAGAUUUAGAUCGAGGAUGCGGACGUCAAAGACGAC